CAGCGGGGGGUUAACAGCUUAAAAAUACACGUUUAUCUCCCUCAACACCACCUCUACAUAAAAACUAACGCUUAUUUGUAUAGAUAAAAAAAAUUGAGGUUAUGUCAUGAUGGCUCGCGUUGCUGGAUGUCCUUAUUAUUUGUUUACCCCCCCCCCCCUCGGCGGCGGGUGGGUCGGCCCAGCCCGUCGCCUUCCCUGCUCCGGAAGGGGCAGGGCUGUGAGGGGAGGAGGCCGGAGCGGGCGUUGGGCACGCGUGUGGGGCGGCCGCUGGCUGGGAGGGGCGCGCGCGGGCGGCUUCACCUCAGCGCCACAGCACAGCCCGGCACGGCUCAGCUCGGCUCAACACAGCCCGGCACGACACGGUUCGGCACAGAACAACCCGGCCAUGCCGCCCCCGCCGGGCCAAACCCAGCUCCCGGACUGGGACGGCUUAAAACUCCGCGUGCGGACCCUGAUCGCCUCCCACCGCGUGAUGAUAUUCAGCAAGAGCUACUGCCCCUACUGCAACCAGGUGAGGCGGCGGCCCCCGAGCCCCCUCAGCCUCUCCUUCAGGCCCGAAGGCCCAGGCCUUGGGCUUCUGAGGGCUGAGUGAGGUCGCUGCGGGGAUGCUGCUUCGUGUCAGGGCUCCUGUGGGGUUUGCGCUGUGGUUUUGAGGUGCUGUGCCCGCCUUAACGCCCGGUGGGAGCAGGUUUUGUGGGGAUUGAGGUGAGGUGAGGUCCGAGCUGGGGUUCUGGGUGAUUUUUUAAUUAUUUUUUUUUCCUUUGCCACGUGAGCAAAGGGCAGCGGAGUGCGUGGGAUGUGCGACACAGCCUGUGCCUUCCUCCGCUGCGGGACCUGCUGCUUCAAGGUCAGGGCGCUGGCAGGGCUGCUUUCCUGCCACAAGUGUGAGCGCCUCGUUUGUGCUCAGCUUGGUCGAAGCUGCACCCUCACUUAACAGAAAGUUAAACCUUAUCUUGUUUUUGAAAUCCGGAGGAGAAGGUUGACUAUAGGAAAAUCAGAAGCUCAAAAUCCUAGUCAUGAAGCAUCUUUUCCCAAAAGAAGUCACUCCUGCUGAGUUGUGAUGAGAUGUUCCCUAGCCCUGUUAUGUGUGAAUCACACAGGUUAGCUGUAACUGGUGAGCAAGAGUCAUUAAAGAAAUGUGGGAUCUUCAUUAGAAUUCAGUGAUACCAGCAGGCUGUAGUCAUAGCCCUCAACGACCUGGGUGUUCGUAGGCAGUACGAUUCCUGGAUGUUUACAAACAGCAUGUUGUGGAAUGUUAUUUAAACCUAAUGAUGGCAUGUUUGAUGUGGCCAUGGUGGAAGAAACACAAGUGGGAUUGAGUUCUGAUAUGCUUUAAUGGAGCUGACAACCCGAGAAGGUUCUUGGAGCUGCUCUCCUGUGUGUAGCUGGGUUUAGUUACAGUCCCUCUUGUGAGGGAGGACUUUUGUGUUUGGGCCUUCCUGUAGGAAACUUGAGUGAAUGUAUUCUGUCACAUUUGCAACUUAAUUGAUGCUUUCAGAAAGGAAACUUCUGUGUGUAAGAGGACAGGACAAACCAAUCAGUGUUGUCCUCUCUUGAUGAGAAUCGUUUGUUGAUGGCUUCAGUGCUGUCCU
RNAcentral lists this long non-coding RNA (1592 nucleotides) under Anas platyrhynchos platyrhynchos (common mallard). RNAcentral describes it as "lncRNA (ENSAPLG00000025716.1)". The record is from RNAcentral. Lineage: Eukaryota; Metazoa; Chordata; Aves; Anseriformes; Anatidae.